This 494-nucleotide long non-coding RNA is filed under the name Mytilus galloprovincialis (Mediterranean mussel). The record is from RNAcentral. Lineage: Eukaryota; Metazoa; Mollusca; Bivalvia; Mytilida; Mytilidae.
GUAGAAUGUUGUUAACUGCUUUUUAUCAUAAAGCAUUUAUAUAUUUUAUUUCUUUUACCGUUUGUUAUUAGUGAUAAAAACUAUGAAAAUGUGAAAUAUAAGCUUGUUAAAAUCUGUAUAUAGAACUUUCUUGAAACUGUACACAUUGCUGGGGAUAUCAUGUAAGAAUCAUACCAUGAGCCAAAGAAACGCUCUUAAUUUAUCAGUAGUCCCAGAAAAACAUGUGCUGAAACGCAUUUAGUAUGAUUCAAUAUCUUUGGGUGGGUAUUCACUCGACUUCACAGCAAAUUAAGACAGAAAGAUAGUUUGGAUAAAAAAUGCAGGGUUUGUUUGAACUGUUUAUAUUGUAAAAUGGAAAAUAUGAAAUCUGGUUAAUUAAUUCAUGACACAAAAGCCCUAUAUGUACUUAAUAACAUCCAAUGCAAAGGAACUCCUUUUUUUAUAUUGCAGUUCUUCAUUAAAUGGUCCCAGUAAUGUGUCUUACAACACAGACA